ACCGGAGGCCUUCUCUGCAGGGCUCUGUCUGAUAUGUUUGAUAUAUUAGGUUGUUAUUCAGUCCCAACUAUAUAUCAAACAUAUUCCUACAGUGUCCCGCUCUGUCUACAGACUUGU
This is a microRNA precursor of Poecilia formosa (Amazon molly), 117 nucleotides long. The record is from Ensembl. NCBI's taxonomy places the organism in Eukaryota, Metazoa, Chordata, Actinopteri, Cyprinodontiformes, Poeciliidae.